UUUUUGGAGAGUUUGAUCCUGGCUCAGAACGAACGCUGGCGGCGUGGAUUAGGCAUGCAAGUCGAGCGAUGCUUGACUUUUUUUUGUCAAGUAGAGCGGCAAACGGGUGAGUAACGCGUAGAUAAUCUGCCUUCAAAUUGGGAACAACUUGCCGAAAGGCGGGCUAAUACCGAAUGAGACUACAUCUUCGCAUGGAGAAGUAGUUAAAGGCGGGGAUUUUUUAAAUUUUCGUAAGAGAAUUUAAAAGACCUGUCGUUUGAAGAGGAAUCUGCGACCUAUCAGCUAGUUGGUGAGGUAACGGCUCACCAAGGCAUUUGACGGGUAGCUGGUCUGAGAGGAUGGUCAGCCACACUGGGACUGAGACACUGCCCAGACUCCUACGGGAGGCUGCA
This 392-nucleotide ribosomal RNA is filed under the name Candidatus Omnitrophota bacterium. RNAcentral describes it as "bacterial SSU rRNA". It matches the Rfam family "Bacterial small subunit ribosomal RNA", at positions 1 to 353 of the family's 1533-position model. The record is from RNAcentral. Lineage: Bacteria; Pseudomonadati; Candidatus Omnitrophota.